This 49-nucleotide small RNA is filed under the name human gut metagenome. RNAcentral describes it as "Streptococcus sRNA SpF59 (ldcC RNA)". It matches the Rfam family "Streptococcus sRNA SpF59 (ldcC RNA)". The record is from RNAcentral.
GACCACUCGAAAGAGUUGAGGCCAUACGGACAGCCGGGUCCACUGCCGA